UUGCCUUCUGACAUUUUCAAAAUGUCUUGGACUUGAUUCUGUUUUCUUCCGAGAGUCUGUAUGUGUGUCAGUAAGCAUCUGUUUUCCUCUCUUGUCACCUCAUGUAAUCUUAGGGAGUGCUCUUGUUAUUCUGUGCAUACUGUACAUAUAAACCCUGUGAGCAACAGGUCAAUAUUCCGAUGGGCGUCUGUGUUCUCGUCAGCAGACUUUGAUCUGAUGAGCUCUGUAAAGUCUGUUUCUCAAAGAUCUUCUGCAGAUUUAUCUUUCUUUGUUUUCUUAGGGGCACAUUAGAAUUGUUUUGGCGUACACGCUUCCUAAAUGUCAGGUUAUUAUCAUUGAAAAUACAGAGGCGUCUUUGGUCAGGGUCAGAGACAGAAGCACUCAGCUCGGAUUAACAAACAUCAGCUUCAUCCAGACAAACCUUGACUAUUUCACUGGGAACUUCAGCAUUGGGGUGGCCCUGCAUGCGUGUGGAGUGGUGACACACACGGUGUUGGAUCGCUUCCUCCAGGCUCUAGCGGGGAUUGUGAUUAGUCCUUGCUGCUACGGGUUCAUUCAAAACACACACAAGUUCAACUUUCCCAAGAGGAGUAUACGAUCCUGUGCAGGUUCACAGACCAGACGGCUGUCAGUUUACCCUGCAGAACGACAAUUAAUUGGGAAGCGCUGUAUGGGACUGGUGGACUUGGACCGUAGCUAGGCUGCUGAGACUCAUGGGUAUUCUGUGUGGGUGAUGACCAUGGUCCCCGAGGGCUGCUCGCCAAUGAAGAUAUGGACAAGACAACUCUGACUCACGAGAAAUACCCACGUCAUGUCAGGACUACAAAUACCUCCAUGUUUUUCAUGCAUGUUACUACUUGAGUGUUUACCUUGGACAGUUUAUAUUUGUAUGUAUUUCAUUUAAAGGGAUAGUUCACCUAAACAUUACAAUUUGACAUCAUUCUGACCUCAUUUAUUUAUUUCUUUUUCUUUUUCUGUAAGAAGAUUUUAGUCA
Molecule: long non-coding RNA, 994 nt
Organism: Carassius carassius (crucian carp)
Lineage: Eukaryota; Metazoa; Chordata; Actinopteri; Cypriniformes; Cyprinidae
Exons: 5
Source: RefSeq, a predicted model, not a curated record